Molecule: ribosomal RNA, 247 nt
Filed under: uncultured bacterium
Lineage: Bacteria
Description: partial 16S ribosomal RNA
Rfam family: Bacterial small subunit ribosomal RNA
Source: RNAcentral
AUACGGAGGGUGCAAGCGUUAUCCGGAUUCACUGGGUUUAAAGGGUGCGUAGGCGGAUUUGUAAGUCCGUGGUGAAAUCUCUAAGCUUAACUUGGAAAUUGCCGUGGAUACUAUAAGUCUUGAAUAUUGUGGAGGUUAGCGGAAUAUGUCAUGUAGCGGUGAAAUGCAUAGAUAUGACAUAGAACACCAAUUGCGAAGGCAGCUGGCUACACAACUAUUGACGCUGAGGCACGAAAGCGUGGGGAUC